This is a non-coding RNA of Pelobates cultripes (western spadefoot toad), 168 nucleotides long. The record is from the annotation of a GenBank genome assembly. NCBI's taxonomy places the organism in Eukaryota, Metazoa, Chordata, Amphibia, Anura, Pelobatidae.
GCAGACACAUUCCAGCCAAUCAGCAGCAGACCCUCCCUCCCAGACCCUCCCACCUCCUGGACAGCAUCCAUUUUACAUUCAUUGUGAAGCUGCAUUCUUAGUGAGCUGUCCAGGAGGUGGGAGGGUCUGGGAGGGAGGGUCUGCUGCUGAUUGGGUGGAAUGUGUCUG